AAGUUUCACUGCAAUUAUUCUCUUACGCUUCUCUUCACGUUACAUAAACAUACACGUACCGUGUGUGGCUAAAAGGGUUGCCUACUGUUUCAUUGUCCAGAGUUACUAUCAUUUGACAAAGGAAUUUCAUGAGUUUGUUUAUUGACACGUAGACUGUAUGAUGAUAAUUUGCAGUGUUUCUAAGUGAGGGUGACGGCACUAGAUGUGUCGCAAAUGAUUUAACAAUUGCAGGAUUUAUGAGGAUCCGUAAAGGCAACAUACGUAGCUGAAACCUGAUUGGAUUAAUGCACGUCUAUCAAGUCCCUUUUCUACACAGCAGCCAAUCAACAUGGGAGAAAGACAAGCCAAAAACGCAUGAUGUCAUGCCCUCUUUAAAAAAUGGGAAAGAAAAGAAAAACACACUAACGCAAGGCCAGUCAGUUAUUUAAGUGGAUCAUUAAACAUCUGUAUUGGUGGCAGACCACACUCUCCAUUUCAGUGAGUUAGGAAAGUUGCCAAGUUUGUUGGCACAGCUCGGUCAACGGUCUGGGAAGUCCAGCUAUGCCACAACAAUGACCUUUAAUGAAGUCUUAAAAAGAUUACACUAACAUCACAAAAGUUACUCACAAUGAAAAUAAGAUAUAUUUGCCAGUUGUCUGUUGACCUGGGGGAGGGGUAUUGUUAAAAAGCCUAUCACAUUAAUACAAAUGAGAUAAGAUGAAAUAUCUUAAUUAGAUCAACUUUUGAGUAGACCAUACACCGUAAUAAGAGUUACUGAAAUCAUAGAAUAGGAUCGGGCAUUAAUGUAUGCAAAACAAAAGCAUAAGUAGAUUAUAAUACAAUAUGUUUGUUAACAUUUUAUCAUAGUGACAGGACAAGUAAUUCAAGAAGAAUAUCCCUAAGAAUAUCUAUGUUUGCUGAGUGCAUUGAUGCUAACUGUCCUUACAGCAACAUUAUUCAGCCGUUUUACCUCAAAAUCAUUUUGGAGGUAUGGUUACCCAUAUUAUGCUAAUGGUGUCUCAGUCACAGCCUCCCUGCCCCUCUUUCACUUGCUCCUGCACCGUGUAAAUUCCGUGAGAGGGUAGGGCUAUAGUGUUGCGUACAUGUUAAUUUCAAGAUAAAGGUUUUCAACACAUAACAUUGUUAUGACAUAAUGAUUUGAGUGUGAAGUUUAAAUCCAAUCAAAUACAUUAUAUUAAUGUAGCCCAAAACCACAAUCACACUGCCUUAGUGGGCUUUACAGUCUGUACAAUGAACAACAUCCUCUGUCCUAUAUGACAUGUGCUGGUUGAGUUAUAGAUGGUUUGAGGUUGAAACUGGGCUUUAAUACACUUCACUGCAUCAGGAAUUAAUCAAUAAAGGUAUCAAACUUGUAAACUGUACACCUCUUUAUCAUGAUCUUAUUGGAUAAUUUCACACAAAAUGAAAAUCCGGGUAUAAUCUAUUCACCCUUAUGCUGACAGAAAGUCUGGUGGAGAUUUGUAGUCCACAAAACAUUUCUAGAGCUUCACAGCAAAACAAUGUUGCAGUAAUUUUCUGAACAGCUGAAGUACGUGGGAAAUGGUACUAAAGGUGGUACUAAAAUUAAAAAAAAACCAAACAAAACAAACAAACAAAAAACAAACAUAAAAUGACUCCAUGACUCCAUCUGCUGCAUCUAAGUCUCAGGCAGCCCAUAGAUGCCAAAGCGGAAAUCUUGACUGUAGCUGUGAAGAUCAAAGUAACAAUAACAGCAUAAUUUAAAGUUAGACUCCACCAAUUUCUCACAUUAACGUGUAUUUACAGGUCUUGGGGAGUACUACUUAAUAUGUUAAAAAAGUAAUUCAAAGCCUUUAGUUGCAGAGGAAGCUGCAUGUAAUCUGAUAAAUUGCCUCUAGUGCUAAAUUGCAUUGUGGAUAAUGUAGGAACCAGGUUUUUAAAAAAGGUGGAAGGACAUGUGGAAUAAAAAAGAUGAUAUAUCUUGUUCUGCAGUGUUGAUUGUGAUCAUCUGGGCAUAUGUCCACAAUCCUUCCACCAGCUUUCCCUAAUGCAAACCACCGAUUUUCAAAUCCUGGCACGUACAUAACCCACAUGCAGUGGCAUGAACACACUUUAAUAUGGAGCGCUGUAUAUAUUAAGUGCAGUGUGCUGUGUUUCUGGUAUUGUUAUGCAUUACGCUUUUAAAGUAAGCAUCAUACACGUUAUUGAUUUAUAAGAGGAAUGGAUAAAAAAUGCACAUAAUUAAACAAGAGAGGAGUCAAACUUAAGCGCACUCGCACACACUGUAAAAACCCAUAGGACGUACACAGACUACACCAUAUUAUACUAUUAUACAUGAUACUGAUCUAACUUUAAUCUAACUGAAGGCUAUAGAAUAUUAUAGACCCAUGCAUGAUUUAUGUAGCAGCAUGCUAAUUGAGUUGGUUGCAAUAUGAAGCUCUGUAAGACGAGACGAUUAUAAAACAAGAAUUGGAUUAAUCCAGCAGCCGAAUGGUAGUUCGACUGAAGCGGCCUUCCUCUGCAGGAGCGCGCAUCCUCGAGCCUGGCGAGAAUGGUCCUGAUGCUGGGACUCGUGCACGCGCAUUACAUCACUUCUCUCCCGCAUGAUUGGCUGGAGGUCAACCGGUCCGCUUGCCAUGCAGCUCCACUGCGAGCUUCAGCAUCACGAAGCAAGCAGCAGCGGUGUUCCAAAACAUCACCACCGCCAUCACCAUCACCACCAUCUUCAUCGUCAUUACCUCUGAUCACGAUACCAAGCUGUUCGCGUGGCUGUGCGCGUUUUCUUGUCCUUGCGCUGGCGACUUGUUUCGAGGAUGGCCGAGAGCGAGGCAGACACGCCGAGCACGCCGAUUGAGUUUGAGAGCAAAUACUUCGAGUUUGAUGGAGUGCGGCUGCCGCCCUUCUGCAGGGGGAAGAUGGAGGAGAUCGCCAACUUCUCGCUCAGAAGUAGCGACAUAUGGAUUGUCACCUACCCGAAGUCAGGCACCAGCUUACUUCAGGAGAUCGUGUAUCUCGUGAGUCAGGGGGCAGACCCUGAUGAGAUUGGCCUCAUGAACAUCGAUGAACAGCUGCCUGUCUUAGAGUAUCCCCAACCUGGGCUGGACAUCAUACAGGAGUUGACGUCCCCUCGUCUGAUCAAAAGCCAUCUUCCCUAUCGAUUCCUCCCCACAGCCAUGCACAAUGGAGAGGCCAAGGUGAUCUAUAUGGCUCGUAACCCUAAAGACCUGGUAGUUUCCUACUACCAGUUCCACCGCUCUCUCAGGACCAUGAGCUACCGGGGAACCUUCCAGGAGUUCUGCCGGCGCUUUAUGAAUGACAAGCUGGGAUAUGGUUCCUGGUUUGAACAUGUUCAGGAAUUCUGGGAACAUCGUAUGGACUCCAAUGUCCUCUUCUUGAAGUAUGAAGACAUGUACAAGGAUUCAGGUACGUUUGUGGAACAGUUAGCCCGUUUCCUGGGUGUUUCGUGUGACAAGUCUCAGCUGGAGGGUAUGGUGGAGAGCUGUAAUCAGCUCAUCGAGCAGUGCAGCAACACAGAGGCGCUGUCCAUCUGCAGGGGUGAGUGGAAGAGGAUGAAUACAACAUUCCUCUGGUCUGCUAAUACAUGGAAGUCUGAUGUCUGGUCUGCUAUAGGCUUAACACACAGCUGACUGUCAGUCUGAUCUGUCUCACACACACCGCAGCAGAGCAUGGACCCUUCCAAGAAUUCCCUCUCACAGCAGAGCAUCUGGUUAAGUGCGACCAAUGGUUAUGCCGGGAAGGUCCCCAAAGCAAAUGAUCCAAGACAGGAGCAGACUCGAUUUUGGUUGGCAUUUAAGUAAUGUUACGCAUGCAAAAUGGGGUGCUGCCCACCCACUCCUUAUUUCGGGGAACCAAAUGGCUGAGUCUGUACCUCACUUGAAAGUGUCGUGUGGGUCUGUGGCAGGACAUCUUCACAGUGUCCAUGAAUGACAAGUUCGACACAAUUUACAGACAGAAGAUGGGCAAGUCUGACCUGACCUUUGACUUCUGCCUGUGAGUGGCACCCACCCCCAGCAUCGUCUUUCUACUCUACACCCCACUGAUCUACUUCAGUACGGUUGACAAGUGCACACUUCCUGCCAAAGCCCACGCUACUACAUCGCCAUUCAGUCAAUCAGUCUGAAGUUUACGGUUCAGUAAGAUAGUAGGAGUUCACCACAAGACUUUUCCCAGAAUGCGAUCCGUCUCAAAUCAACAAGUCAUCACCAACCCACCUUUGUGGACUGAUCAAAACAAAUCCAGAUUUAUUGGGAAAUCAAUGAAAUUUCUCAAUCAAUAGUAAACCAACCUCCUUCAACCCCUACCUCCACGGUAUGUUCCCACUGCUGUGUAUGUAUAUGUGUAAAUACAAACAAGGGUUUGACCGAUGUAGGUUUUUUAGGGGCUAAUACCAAUACCUUUGAGCUAAAGUAUUGGUCAACAUUUAUAUUCAAAACAUAUGAAGAUAUUUGUGACUGAAAUACACCAAAAAUAAAAAAAUAAAAAAAUGAAUGACAAUGA
Molecule: RNA transcript, 4476 nt
Organism: Acanthopagrus latus (yellowfin seabream)
Lineage: Eukaryota; Metazoa; Chordata; Actinopteri; Spariformes; Sparidae
Gene: sult4a1
Gene name: sulfotransferase family 4A, member 1
Exons: 9
Source: RefSeq, a predicted model, not a curated record